CCUACGGGUGGCAGCAGUAAGGAAUAUUGGUCAAUGGACGAAAGUCUGAACCAGCCAUGCCGCGUGGAGGAUGAAGGUCCUCUGGAUUGUAAACUUCUUUUAUAUGGGACGAAAAAAGGCUUUUCUAAGUCGUCUGACGGUACCAUAUGAAUAAGCACCGGCUAACUCCGUGCCAGCAGCCGCGGUAAUACGGAGGGUGCAAGCGUUACUGGGAUUCACUGGGUUUAAAGGGUGUUGAUGUGGGUUUGUAGAAAUCCCCGAGCUUAACUUGGGAACUGCCAUUGAUACUAUCAGUCUUGAGUACCGUGGAGGUCAGCGGAAUAUGUCAUGUAGCGGUGAAAUGCUUAGAUAUGACAUAGAACACCAAUUGCGAAGGCAGCUGGCUACCCGAAUAUUGACACUGAGGCACGAAAGCGUGGGGAUCAAACAGGAUUAGAUACCCCUGUAGUC
Molecule: ribosomal RNA, 450 nt
Filed under: uncultured bacterium
Lineage: Bacteria
Description: partial 16S ribosomal RNA
Rfam family: Bacterial small subunit ribosomal RNA
Source: RNAcentral